GUUUAUGGCUAUACCACCCUGAACAAGUUCGAUCCUGUCUGAUCUCGGGAACUAAGUAGGGUUGGGCCUGGUUAGUACUUAGAUGAGACCACCUAGGAAGACCAGGUGCUAUAGGUG
This 117-nucleotide ribosomal RNA is filed under the name Pteropus alecto (black flying fox). The record is from RNAcentral. Lineage: Eukaryota; Metazoa; Chordata; Mammalia; Chiroptera; Pteropodidae.